AUAAACUUAAAACUCAUUUGAGAAAGUAAUUAAUUUUAUAAUUUGAAACUUUGAGCUUCACUCUUCACCUCAGCUUAGUAAAAUUAGCCACUUAUAUUGAAAGAAAAUAAAACACUCUUUUUAUUAUUUGACAAACUUCUGGAAUAUAUUAUAAGAAAAUUGGUACAGAAAAAAAUAAGAAAAAAAAAGAAAGAAAUAAAUCCUCAG
RNAcentral lists this long non-coding RNA (207 nucleotides) under Citrus sinensis (sweet orange). Its description in RNAcentral is "long non-coding RNA (CSIN_LNC004210)". The record is from RNAcentral. Lineage: Eukaryota; Viridiplantae; Streptophyta; Magnoliopsida; Sapindales; Rutaceae.